This 343-nucleotide unclassified non-coding RNA is filed under the name soil metagenome. RNAcentral describes it as "partial contains 5.8S ribosomal RNA, internal transcribed spacer 2, and large subunit ribosomal RNA". The stretch from base 1 to 120 matches the Rfam family "5.8S ribosomal RNA", at positions 35 to 154 of the family's 154-position model. The record is from RNAcentral.
GAUGAAGAACGUAGCGAAAUGCGAUAAGUAGUGUGAAUUGCAGAAUUCAGUGAAUCAUCGAAUCUUUGAACGCACAUUGCGCCCCAUGGUAUUCCGUGGGGCAUGCCUGUUCGAGCGUCAUUUACCCCCUCAAGCCCCCGGGCUUGGUGUUGGGGAUCGGCGAGCCUCCGCGCCCGCCGUCCCCUAAAUCUAGUGGCGGUCUCGCUGUAGCUUCCUCUGCGUAGUAGCACACCUCGCACUGGGAAACAGCGCGGCCACGCCGUUAAACCCCCAACUUCUGAACGUUUGACCUCGGAUCAGGUAGGAAUACCCGCUGAACUUAAGCAUAUCAAUAAGCGGAGGA